This 1372-nucleotide ribosomal RNA is filed under the name uncultured bacterium. RNAcentral describes it as "bacterial SSU rRNA". It matches the Rfam family "Bacterial small subunit ribosomal RNA", at positions 28 to 1381 of the family's 1533-position model. The record is from RNAcentral.
GAUGAACGCUGGCGGCGUGCCUAAUACAUGCAAGUCGAGCGAACGGACGAGAAGCUUGCUUCUCUGAUGUUAGCGGCGGACGGGUGAGUAACACGUGGAUAACCUACCUAUAAGACUGGGAUAACUUCGGGAAACCGGAGCUAAUACCGGAUAAUAUUUUGAACCGCAUGGUUCAAAAGUGAAAGACGGUCUUGCUGUCACUUAUAGAUGGAUCCGCGCUGCAUUAGCUAGUUGGUAAGGUAACGGCUUACCAAGGCAACGAUGCAUAGCCGACCUGAGAGGGUGAUCGGCCACACUGGAACUGAGACACGGUCCAGACUCCUACGGGAGGCAGCAGUAGGGAAUCUUCCGCAAUGGGCGAAAGCCUGACGGAGCAACGCCGCGUGAGUGAUGAAGGUCUUCGGAUCGUAAAACUCUGUUAUUAGGGAAGAACAUAUGUGUGAGUAACUGUGCACAUCUUGACGGUACCUAAUCAGAAAGCCACGGCUAACUACGUGCCAGCAGCCGCGGUAAUACGUAGGUGGCAAGCGUUAUCCGGAAUUAUUGGGCGUAAAGCGCGCGUAGGCGGUUUUUUAAGUCUGAUGUGAAAGCCCACGGCUCAACCGUGGAGGGUCAUUGGAAACUGGAAAACUUGAGUGCAGAAGAGGAAAGUGGAAUUCCAUGUGUAGCGGUGAAAUGCGCAGAGAUAUGGAGGAACACCAGUGGCGAAGGCGACUUUCUGGUCUGUAACUGACGCUGAUGUGCGAAAGCGUGGGGAUCAAACAGGAUUAGAUACCCUGGUAGUCCACGCCGUAAACGAUGAGUGCUAAGUGUUAGGGGGUUUCCGCCCCUUAGUGCUGCAGCUAACGCAUUAAGCACUCCGCCUGGGGAGUACGACCGCAAGGUUGAAACUCAAAGGAAUUGACGGGGACCCGCACAAGCGGUGGAGCAUGUGGUUUAAUUCGAAGCAACGCGAAGAACCUUACCAAAUCUUGACAUCCUUUGACAACUCUAGAAAUAGAGCCUUCCCCUUCGGGGGACAAAGUGACAGGUGGUGCAUGGUUGUCGUCAGCUCGUGUCGUGAGAUGUUGGGUUAAGUCCCGCAACGAGCGCAACCCUUAAGCUUAGUUGCCAUCAUUAAGUUGGGCACUCUAAGUUGACUGCCGGUGACAAACCGGAGGAAGGUGGGGAUGACGUCAAAUCAUCAUGCCCCUUAUGAUUUGGGCUACACGCGUGCUACAAUGGACAAUACAAAGGGCAGCGAAACCGCGAGGUCAAGCAAAUCCCAUAAAGUUGUUCUCAGUUCGGAUUGUAGUCUGCAACUCGACUACAUGAAGCUGGAAUCGCUAGUAAUCGUAGAUCAGCAUGCUACGGUGAAUACGUUCCCGGGUCU